GGAUGAACGCUGGCGGCGUGCUUAACACAUGCAAGUCGAACGAUGAAGCCAGCUUGCUGGUGGAUUAGUGGCGAACGGGUGAGUAACACGUGAGUAACCUGCCCUUAACUCUGGGAUAAGCCUGGGAAACUGGGUCUAAUACCGGAUAUGACUCCUCAUCGCAUGGUGGGGGGUGGAAAGCUUUAUUGUGGUUUUGGAUGGACUCGCGGCCUAUCAGCUUGUUGGUGAGGUAAUGGCUCACCAAGGCGACGACGGGUAGCCGGCCUGAGAGGGUGACCGGCCACACUGGGACUGAGACACGGCCCAGACUCCUACGGGAGGCAGCAGUGGGGAAUAUUGCACAAUGGGCGCAAGCCUGAUGCAGCGACGCCGCGUGAGGGAUGACGGCCUUCGGGUUGUAAACCUCUUUCAGUAGGGAAGAAGCGAAAGUGACGGUACCUGCAGAAGAAGCGCCGGCUAACUACGUGCCAGCAGCCGCGGUAAUACGUAGGGCGCAAGCGUUAUCCGGAAUUAUUGGGCGUAAAGAGCUCGUAGGCGGUUUGUCGCGUCUGCCGUGAAAGUCCGGGGCUCAACUCCGGAUCUGCGGUGGGUACGGGCAGACUAGAGUGAUGUAGGGGAGACUGGAAUUCCUGGUGUAGCGGUGAAAUGCGCAGAUAUCAGGAGGAACACCGAUGGCGAAGGCAGGUCUCUGGGCAUUAACUGACGCUGAGGAGCGAAAGCAUGGGGAGCGAACAGGAUUAGAUACCCUGGUAGUCCAUGCCGUAAACGUUGGGCACUAGGUGUGGGGGACAUUCCACGUUUUCCGCGCCGUAGCUAACGCAUUAAGUGCCCCGCC
This 835-nucleotide ribosomal RNA is filed under the name Actinomycetales bacterium M_Sw_HS_07/10_6_1(1). RNAcentral's name for it is "bacterial SSU rRNA". It matches the Rfam family "Bacterial small subunit ribosomal RNA", at positions 27 to 873 of the family's 1533-position model. Lineage: Bacteria; Bacillati; Actinomycetota; Actinomycetes; Actinomycetales. The record is from RNAcentral.